UACGAAGGGGGCUAGCGUUGUUCGGAUUUACUGGGCGUAAAGCGCACGUAGGCGGAUCGUUAAGUCGGGGGUGAAAGCCUGGAGCUCAACUCCAGAAUUGCCUUUAAGACUGCAUCGCUUGAAUCCAGGAGAGGUGAGUGGAAUUCCGAGUGUAGAGGUGAAAUUCGUAGAUAUUCGGAAGAACACCAGUGGCGAAGGCGGCUCACUGGACUGGUAUUGACGCUGAGGUGCGAAAGCGUGGGGAGCAAACAGG
This 253-nucleotide ribosomal RNA is filed under the name uncultured bacterium. RNAcentral's name for it is "partial 16S ribosomal RNA". It matches the Rfam family "Bacterial small subunit ribosomal RNA", at positions 524 to 776 of the family's 1533-position model. The record is from RNAcentral.